AACGAACGCUGGCGGCAUGCCUAACACAUGCAAGUCGAACGAGACCUUCGGGUCUAGUUGCGCACGCGUGCGUAACGCGUCGGAACCUUCCCUUAGGUUCGGAAUAACUCCCCGACGGGGGUGCUAAUACCGGGUAACUUCCUCUAACCACAGAUAUAGCGUCUUUGGUUGGGCACGCGUUGGUUUAGCUAGUCGGUAGUGUAAAAGCCUACCAAGGCGACGAUCGUUAGCUGGUCAGAGAGGAUGCGCAGCCACACUGGGACUGAGACACGACUCAGACUCCUUCGGGAAGGAGCGGUGGGGAAUAUUGGACAAUGGGCGAAAGCCUGAUACAGCUACGCCGCGUAAAGGAUGAAGGCCGGAGGAUUGUAAAGCUAGUUUAACCGGGAGGAGAAUGACAGUACCGGGAAAAUAAGGCACGGCUAACUCCGUG
Molecule: ribosomal RNA, 433 nt
Filed under: uncultured bacterium
Lineage: Bacteria
Description: partial 16S ribosomal RNA
Rfam family: Bacterial small subunit ribosomal RNA
Source: RNAcentral